GUUGCUCGUAAAACAGGCCGAUCACUUCAUGGAGGAUCUCGGAUAACCUCUAGAAGAAAUCACUUGGUGGGAACACAAAUGGUAUGCAGCAACUUUUUUGGUUGCAGGAUGGUUGAGGCCUGUUGAGGGUGAGCAUUGCUGCAAUUGUACUAGUUUUACCCUUGCAUUGGUGAGCAAUGGUGCACUUGCUUACGGAAAUAACCUCACCUAGCCCUCCUCCGACUUGGCAGUAGUUGAAGUCUCAUGCAUUGGACAAUCCUAAAAGAGUUAAAGUAAUAUUGGAGAAGUGGAAUUUGGGCGUGAGAAACUUCUAGCUUAAUUUGGAGUUGAUUAGGGUUAAUUGUGACUGCUACUCAGUUGGGUACUCCAACUAUAUCAUCAUCAAACAUUAGUUUAUGACAUUCAAGAAACAAACUUGGGAAACGUAACUAAUUUCUGCCGGCUCCCAUUUCGUCCAUAUUUUACGAGCAGCAUUCCACUUAAGAUGACGAUACAUCUGACACCAAAACAACGUUCCACCAAAUAAGACCAUAAACAUGUAGAAGUCUGUACACCAUACCGUCCAACACAGAGAAAAAUGACACAAGGGUUCGAAACAAGAAGCAAGAAUAUUUGUGGAAAAGCAAGUAGAUAGAAACAGAGUUACCUUGUGAGAGAGCUCGGCUCGGCAAAACUCCACUGCAAUGCCAGCCUCUUCAUUACCGCUACCGCAGUGCCGGAACAUCGUACAUGGGACACUUUGAAAGAGAAAGGGAAAUCAUC
RNAcentral lists this long non-coding RNA (762 nucleotides) under Elaeis guineensis (African oil palm). Its description in RNAcentral is "long non-coding RNA (EGUI_LNC001146)". Lineage: Eukaryota; Viridiplantae; Streptophyta; Magnoliopsida; Arecales; Arecaceae. The record is from RNAcentral.